GACAUAGGUGGCAAGCGUUACUCGGAAUUACUAGGCGUAAAGCGCGUGUAGGCGGAUGCUUAAGUCUGUCGUUUAAUCUCCCGGCUCAACCGGGAACGGUCGGCGGAUACUGGGCAUCUGGAGUGGGACAGAGGAAGCUGGAAUUCCCGGUGUAGCGGUGAAAUGCGUAGAUAUCGGGAAGAACACCGGCGGCGAAGGCGGGCUUCUGGGUCCUCACUGACGCUAAGACGCGAAAGCUAGGGGAGCAAACAGGAUUAGAUAACCCUGGUAGUCCC
RNAcentral lists this ribosomal RNA (275 nucleotides) under uncultured bacterium. RNAcentral's name for it is "partial 16S ribosomal RNA". It matches the Rfam family "Bacterial small subunit ribosomal RNA", at positions 524 to 797 of the family's 1533-position model. The record is from RNAcentral.